RNAcentral lists this ribosomal RNA (462 nucleotides) under uncultured bacterium. RNAcentral describes it as "partial 16S ribosomal RNA". It matches the Rfam family "Bacterial small subunit ribosomal RNA", at positions 28 to 507 of the family's 1533-position model. The record is from RNAcentral.
GAUAAACGCUGGCGGCGUGCUUAACACAUGCAAGUCGAACGAAGUUUUUCUUUCGGGAGGAACUUAGUGGCGGACGGGUGAGUAACGCGUGGGUAACCUGCCCUGUACAGGGGGACAACAGCUGGAAACGGCUGCUAAUACCGCAUAAGCCCUUAGCACUGCAUGGUGCAUAGGGAAAAGGAGCAAUCCGGUACAGGAUGGACCCGCGUCUGAUUAGCCAGUUGGCAGGGUAACGGCCUACCAAAGCGACGAUCAGUAGCCGAUCUGAGAGGAUGUACGGCCACAUUGGGACUGAGACACGGCCCAGACUCCUACGGGAGGCAGCAGUGGGGAAUAUUGCACAAUGGAGGAAACUCUGAUGCAGCGACGCCGCGUGAGUGAAGAAGUAUUUCGGUAUGUAAAGCUCUAUCAGCAGGAAAGAAAAUGACGGUACCUGACUAAGAAGCACCGGCUAACUACGUG